Molecule: non-coding RNA, 683 nt
Organism: Erythranthe guttata (spotted monkey flower)
Lineage: Eukaryota; Viridiplantae; Streptophyta; Magnoliopsida; Lamiales; Phrymaceae
Source: RefSeq, a predicted model, not a curated record
UAAGCACGGGUAAGCUAUAAUGGUGAUUGUGGAAGUCAAAUUUCUGUCCAAUUGUGGGAAAUAGACAGAAAUCGCUGUGCAUUUACUCUUCUAACUAUUUCUACUAUUUUGCUAGUGUUUUCGUUCCCUUUGUAGUGGUAAUCUCUUCCCGACGGCCAGUGUAAACAAAAUUGAUCAGCACUUCUGACCCUUAACGGUGAGAAAUCUGGCCUGAAAUCUGGUAAAUAAUGUUAAUAAUUGAAAAAUAAUUGAAAACAAAGGACUGCUAGUUGAAUAUGAUUCGAUCAUUAGCCUUACCGAACUCCUUGUUUUACAGAAGUCGAAAGUAAGAGGCAAAGGUUGCAGCAGGAGAAUUUACCUUCAUUGUUCUUCGUUCAGUAUAUAAAUAUGCCUAAACGCAAAUCUAAAAACGUUGUGGUUGAAGACAAUCGUUGUACUAUCAAGGCUAUGAACCACAUAGAAGUUUUGCACAGAUGGCAACCACCUGCGCGGGUGAUAGAUAAGAUACGUCAUACUUGCCUUUAUAAAUGUGCCAAUUUACUUAUUGGGGACCGAAGUAUGUUACCUGUUAGAGCAGACAAUUCUUUAACUACGUUUCUCAUCAAAAAUUAUGAUGAGGAAGAAUCUUGUUUUAAGAUAUGUAAUAGUAAGUUUUUUUUUGGAUUAGAAGAUAUUUAUUUUAU